UAACUAAUGGCACGAGCCAUUCUCCUACAGCCUUGAAUGGCGCCCCCUCACCACCCAAUGGCUUCAGCAAUGGGCCUUCCUCUUCUUCCUCCUCCUCUCUGGCUAAUCAACAGCUGCCCCCAGCCUGUGGUGCCAGGCAACUCAGCAAGCUGAAAAGGUUCCUUACUACCCUGCAGCAGUUUGGCAAUGACAUUUCACCCGAGAUAGGAGAAAGAGUUCGCACCCUCGUUCUGGGACUAGUGAACUCCACUUUGACAAUUGAAGAAUUUCAUUCCAAACUGCAAGAAGCUACUAACUUCCCACUGAGACCUUUUGUCAUCCCAUUUUUGAAGGCCAACUUGCCCCUGCUGCAGCGUGAGCUCCUCCACUGCGCAAGACUGGCCAAACAGAACCCUGCCCAGUACCUCGCCCAGCAUGAACAGCUGCUUCUGGAUGCCAGCACCACCUCACCUGUUGACUCCUCAGAGCUGCUUCUCGAUGUGAACGAAAACGGGAAGAGGCGAACUCCAGACAGGGAAAAGCUUCACUCUGACCAUCACUGUCUUCACAAACCCACCGCAAGUCGCCACCUACCACAGAGCCAUCAAAAUCACAGUGGAUGGGCCCCGAGAACCUCGAAAUCGUACUGAGAAGCACUCCACAAUGCCAGACUCACCUGUGGAUGUGAAGACGCAAUCUAGGCUGACUCCUCCAACAAUGCCACCUCCCCCAACUACUCAAGGAGCUCCAAGAACCAGUUCAUUUACACCGACAACGU
Molecule: small RNA, 757 nt
Filed under: Homo sapiens (human)
Lineage: Eukaryota; Metazoa; Chordata; Mammalia; Primates; Hominidae
Description: AML1-ETO fusion A5E2345 circular RNA
Source: RNAcentral